UACGUAGGGGGCAAGCGUUGCUCGGAAUCACUGGGCGUAAAGGGUGCGUAGGCGGGUUUUUAAGUCAGGGGUGAAAUCCUGGAGCUCAACUCCAGAACUGCCUUUGAUACUGAAGAUCUCGAGUCCGGGAGAGGUGAGUGGAACUGCGAGUGUAGAGGUGAAAUUCGUAGAUAUUCGCAAGAACACCAGUGGCGAAGGCGGCUCACUGGCCCGGUACUGACGCUGAGGCACGAAAGCGUGGGGAGCAAACAGG
RNAcentral lists this ribosomal RNA (253 nucleotides) under uncultured bacterium. RNAcentral's name for it is "partial 16S ribosomal RNA". It matches the Rfam family "Bacterial small subunit ribosomal RNA", at positions 524 to 776 of the family's 1533-position model. The record is from RNAcentral.